GGAAAACCUUUCCCUUUCCCUUUCGGCUCGAACUCGACUGUCCGGCGGCCGGGUUCGUGUUGAUACGUUACUGGCGUUAUGCGUGCUACGUGUAUAUCAGGAUGGUAGGCUAUGUGGGUGUGAGACGGGGGCGGUGGCUGUGCUAGUGAAACGGAGGAGGCGGCGGCAGAGUCACUGGAGGCGGCGGCUAGUCGGCUGACGGCAGGAGGAGAACGGGAGGAGGGCUGGUGGCCUUGAACUUGACUGCCGCAGUUUUUGCACACAGCCGCCGCACGCCCAAAACAGCCCACCGGCGUAGACACCGAACUUUUCGUCAGCGGGAGCGCCGCGCUACUCGGAUUCGGACAAUUCUCAAGGUAAUUAGUGAUUCAUCGCCUACGAUCGAAACAUCUCCUAAUCAACAAUCUCAAGAAAACAUGUCAUCGAUAACUUCGUGUUGAAACAAAAUUCCUUCGUUUACGAACUACACUCGUUCUUUUGCAUAACGAUACAAAGCUUCGUCCAGUUGUCGCACACAAAUUGUUCGAAUGUUCAAAAUAUGUUGAUGAACAAGAUAAUUUUCUAUCGAAAUCCGACCUCUGGAAAUUUGUCGAUGAAAACUGGAAAUUCUAUGAACGUCCGCAAGCUCUUUGUCGUUGCUAAUUCCGUACUACGUAGCAAAUAGUUGAAAACAACGGACAAGAACAACAGAAUCGUCAAAAAAAAUUGAAGAGAUUUCGAAAUGGACCCAACAAGAAACGGACGACGGUCAGGUUAAAUCGAUCACUCUGUAAACCGGCAGAUUUGUUGCGACAAUCAAAUUUCUUCGCACUGUAACGAAGGGAAAUCCACUGAUACAGACGACACACACAGAGAGUUAUUUAAUCGAAAGUUAUUACCGAACUAUAGCUACGACGUUAAGUGGAAAAUCAAACAGUCUAUUUGAUUAGUCUAAUCGAAUGUCUGCAGCUCCUGUCAACAUUGGAUGCUAGAAGAAAUACGGAAAAUUUGCACGGAUCGUGUAUUAACGCCAAAACUAUGAGAAACUCUGAUGAAAGAAUUGUAAAGGGCCAGAACGAUUCUCAAAGGGAACGAAAAGCAACAGGCUCUCCUGAUAAUGAAAUUACGUAAAGUUGAAAAGCGAGCGUGAAAUCGAGCGAAACAUGUCUCCCACAAAUUCAGUAUACGAACGUAUACUGUACGCUACAGUAUACACCAUCGCGAUCGUACCUAUUGUUCAACGAAUGUUUUCGAAUGGAUUAUCCAUUGCAAGAAUCAUUACGCAACUCUGUAUUGCGUAUUUUCGACAUUUCCUGAUACAUUCGAUACGGAAAACGAGCAAGCCGAUCGGAGAAGAUAUUUGCAUAAGAUAACAAGCUGGUUUAUCAAUUUCUUAAAAUAAUUUGUUCCAUUGCUACGAAGCGAGUCUUCUGAAAGUAUUACGUCGUAUAAAAAAAGAAACGAUAAUAAGGAGCUUAUGACACUGAAAUGACCGGUGAAAUUACGACUACAGUCGAUGCAGAUAGAUUAAAAACUAAAUGGAUCGAUAUGCCUGUCUGUGUGUCAUGUGCAAGGUGCGCGAAAGUUUGUCAUGUUUCGCUAAAGAAACUUCCAUACACCGUGGAUAGUCUCAGCUAAUAUCAAAAUAAAACAUACGUACUAAAAUGUAAUUAUUGGAGAUUUAUUUAAGUAAAUGGUACGUUUAUAAGCAACGUAAAACUAUUAUAGAUGUCAAUUUUUAUAUUUAUAUCGUUAUUAAAUUUAUCAGAUGAAUAUCGCGAUUGAAUUUCGAUUAACUCGUAAUAAAAUUCGGAUUAGGUUGAUAUUUCCAUAAAAUUUUGUAAUUUUGUUAUAAGCUACUUGAUAGUAUAAAUAAUAUAUUGAUAGUAUAAUUGAUUAUGCUUGAUCGAAUGUAAUUCUCCAAAAUGAAAAGUUAGAUUGUCGGUAAUAGGGAAAUUCGUAGUUUCAUCGGUCGGUAUAGUCGCAAGUAAUUGAAACAACAUUAAAUUCGUUUAAAAUAUGAUCUUAAAUAACCGAAGUGAAAAUACCGAAGUUCACAACUUCGUGAAAAUUAUUAAUAUUGCUGACUUCCAAGUUGGUGCAAUUAAGUGGAAAAUAAUGACGACAACAUAAAAAUAUGUGUCACACUUAUGCUAUUACAAAAAGCGUUGGAAUCGAGAAGACAGGAAGUAUUUUUUUCGUAAAAUAGUAUCUCGAUGAUCCAAAUAUACGUUAUGAUCCAAAACCACACGUUUUGGAUCGAAGUAGUUCAUUUUACUGAUAACUAUCGUUAUAUCGGUCGGAUAAUGAGGGGACACUGAAUAAGAAUAAAGCCUCGAAUUUUCGUCUAUCGUCACAUUCGAUUUCAUAACUCACGUUUUUUUGGUCGAAAAAAAUCAAGGCCAUAGCAGCCUUGUUGUGAAACCCGCGCACCCAAUUUCGAAAUCAGGAAACAAAAGGAUACUACUCGGAACUUGACUAAUUCGUUGCAUAGGCACGAAGACAAGAUUCAAGGAAAUAUUUGUAUAUGAACCACGAAAUACAAAACAGUAACAAAAACUGUAAUAUACACAGCGACAUGUAAACGAAUUCGUAACAAAAAUGGCGGAACAAAAUUUGGCAGAUCCUCGAUGCCUGUGUACUUAUCCUCUCCAGUGAAACACGGCAUAGAAUGGAUAAGCAAAUAUAAAAGACUGAAUGUAACACUCACUUUGAAAUCUGUAAUUGUUCACGUAUCUCCAUCGACGUUUGUAUAUUUUGGAACACAAGAAAAAUAUUGUAGCAAUGGCCGACUUCACAAGUCACUAGAAGCAGAAAACUCGAUGGUUCUGAUUGUCGUGCGUGUGGCGCCAUCACACGUUUACGAAAUAAGACAAAAAUCAUAUUCCACCAAUAUAUCCGGUGCUAACCUCUAACGGAAAAACGACGUAAUUCCAUCCCCCCCUAACAUAGCGAUCGAAAUCACUUGGAGCAAUGUUCGAAGAAUCAAAUAAAUAAACAACAUCCCAGUUAUGAAAAUCAUUAACUAUGAACACUAUAAUUAUUUCCUUUAUUAUCUGCACUGAAAAUCUAAGUAAAACUUUACAAAAAUAUACUUUUUGUACUUUAUUAUGCGAAAGAUAGAUUCUGUAUUCUAAGAAAACGUUUCAAUAAAUUCUCAGACUUUUGCAA
This is a long non-coding RNA of Megalopta genalis, 3150 nucleotides long. RefSeq lists it as uncharacterized. NCBI's taxonomy places the organism in Eukaryota, Metazoa, Arthropoda, Insecta, Hymenoptera, Halictidae. The record is from RefSeq and is a predicted model, not a curated record.